UGGGGAAUAUUGCACAAUGGGGGAAACCCUGAUGCAGCGACGCCGCGUGAAGGAAGAAGUAUCUCGGUAUGUAAACUUCUAUCAGCAGGGAAGAAAGUGACGGUACCUGACUAAGAAGCCCCGGCUAAUUACGUGCCAGCAGCCGCGGUAAUACGUAAGGGGCAAGCGUUAUCCGGAUUUACUGGGUGUAAAGGGAGCGUAGACGGAGAGGCAAGUCUGAUGUGAAAGGCAUGGGCUCAACCUGUGGACUGCAUUGGAAACUGUUUUUCUAGAGUGCCGGAGAGGCAGGCGGAAUUCCUAGUGUAGCGGUGAAAUGCGUAGAUAUUAGGAGGAACACCAGUGGCGAAGGCGGCCUGCUGGACGGUAACUGACGUUGAGGCUCGAAAGCGUGGGGAGCAAACA
RNAcentral lists this ribosomal RNA (402 nucleotides) under uncultured bacterium. Its description in RNAcentral is "bacterial SSU rRNA". It matches the Rfam family "Bacterial small subunit ribosomal RNA", at positions 355 to 774 of the family's 1533-position model. The record is from RNAcentral.